GAUGAACGCUGGCGGCGUGCCUAAUACAUGCAAGUCGAGCGAACAGAUAAGGAGCUUGCUCCUUUGACGUUAGCGGCGGACGGGUGAGUAACACGUGGAUAACCUACCUAUAAGACUGGGAUAACUUCGGGAAACCGGAGCUAAUACCGGAUAACAUAUUGAACCGCAUGGUUCAAUAGUGAAAGGCGGCUUUGCUGUCACUUAUAGAUGGAUCCGCGCCGUAUUAGCUAAUUGGUAAGGUAACGGCUUACCAAGGCAACGAUACGUAGCCGACCUGAGAGGGUGAUCGGCCACACUGGAACUGAGACACGGUCCAGACUCCUACGGGAGGCAGCAGUAGGGAAUCUUCCGCAAUGGGCGAAAGCCUGACGGAGCAACGCCGCGUGAGUGAUGAAGGUCUUCGGAUCGUAAAACUCUGUUAUCAGGGAAGAACAAAUGUGUAAGUAACUGUGCACAUCUUGACGGUACCUGAUCAGAAAGCCACGGCUAACUACGUG
This 497-nucleotide ribosomal RNA is filed under the name uncultured bacterium. Its description in RNAcentral is "partial 16S ribosomal RNA". It matches the Rfam family "Bacterial small subunit ribosomal RNA", at positions 28 to 507 of the family's 1533-position model. The record is from RNAcentral.